AGGACGAACGCUGGCGGCGUGCUUAACACAUGCAAGUCGAACGGUAAGGCCCCUUCGGGGGUACGACGAGUGGCGAACGGGUGAGUAACACGUGGGUAAUCUGCCCUGCACUUCGGGAUAAGCCUGGGAAACUGGGUCUAAUACCGGAUAUGAACUCCUGCCGCAUGGUGGGGGUUGGAAAGUUUUUCGGUGCAGGAUGAGCCCGCGGCCUAUCAGCUUGUUGGUGGGGUAAUGGCCUACCAAGGCGACGACGGGUA
RNAcentral lists this ribosomal RNA (257 nucleotides) under uncultured soil bacterium. RNAcentral describes it as "partial 16S ribosomal RNA". It matches the Rfam family "Bacterial small subunit ribosomal RNA", at positions 26 to 285 of the family's 1533-position model. The record is from RNAcentral.